RNAcentral lists this transfer RNA (78 nucleotides) under Camelus bactrianus (Bactrian camel). It matches the Rfam family "tRNA". From Rfam's summary of the family: Transfer RNA (tRNA) molecules are approximately 80 nucleotides in length. Their secondary structure includes four short double-helical elements and three loops (D, anti-codon, and T loops). The record is from Rfam by way of RNAcentral. Lineage: Eukaryota; Metazoa; Chordata; Mammalia; Artiodactyla; Camelidae. RNAcentral also lists the same sequence under 2 other names.
GAGGAUAUAGCUCAGUGGUAGAGUACAUGCUUAUCACUAUCAUGCACAAGGUCCUAGGUUCAAUCCCCAGUACCUCCA